RNAcentral lists this ribosomal RNA (956 nucleotides) under insect metagenome. Its description in RNAcentral is "bacterial SSU rRNA". It matches the Rfam family "Bacterial small subunit ribosomal RNA", at positions 19 to 959 of the family's 1533-position model. The record is from RNAcentral.
ACCAUCUAGCGACCUCCACGGCAUGCCUAAUACAUGCAAGUCGAGCGAACAGACGAGGAGCUUGCUCCUCUGACGUUAGCGGCGGACGGGUGAGUAACACGUGGAUAACCUACCUAUAAGACUGGGAUAACUUCGGGAAACCGGAGCUAAUACCGGAUAAUAUAUUGAACCGCAUGGUUCAAUAGUGAAAGACGGUUUUGCUGUCACUUAUAGAUGGAUCCGCGNCGCAUUAGCUAGUUGGUAAGGUAACGGCUNACCAAGGCAACGAUNCGUAGCCGACCUGAGAGGGUGAUCGGCCACACUGGAACUGAGACACGGUCCAGACUCCUACGGGAGGCAGCAGUAGGGAAUCUUCCGCAAUGGGCGAAAGCCUGACGGAGCAACGCCGCGUGAGUGAUGAAGGUCUUCGGAUCGUAAAACUCUGUUAUUAGGGAAGAACAAAUGUGUAAGUAACUAUGCACGUCUUGACGGUACCUAAUCAGAAAGCCACGGCUAACUACGUGCCAGCAGCCGCGGUAAUACGUAGGUGGCAAGCGUUAUCCGGAAUUANUGGGCGUAAAGCGCGCGNAGGCGGUUUUUUAAGUCUGAUGUGAAAGCCCACGGCUCAACCGUGGAGGGUCAUUGGAAACUGGAAAACUUGAGUGCAGAAGAGGAAAGUGGAAUUCCAUGUGUAGCGGUGAAAUGCGCAGAGAUAUGGAGGAACACCAGUGGCGAAGGCGACUUUCUGGUCUGUAACUGACGCUGAUGUGCGAAAGCGUGGGGAUCAAACAGGAUUAGAUACCCUGGUAGUCCACGCCGUAAACGAUGAGUGCUAAGUGUUAGGGGGUUUCCGCCCCUUAGUGCUGCAGCUAACGCAUUAAGCACUCCGCCUGGGGAGUACGACCGCAAGGUUGAAACUCAAAGGAAUUGACGGGGGCCCGCACAAGCGGUGGGUUGGUGGAGGUCGCUAGAUGGUC